This is a non-coding RNA of Hyphomonas sp., 94 nucleotides long. NCBI's taxonomy places the organism in Bacteria, Pseudomonadati, Pseudomonadota, Alphaproteobacteria, Hyphomonadales, Hyphomonadaceae. The record is from Rfam.
AGGCAGGUGGCGGACGGGCCGCUCGCCAACCGGGUCAGGCCGGGAACGGAGCAGCCCUAACGAGUUUUCCGCCCGGGUCGCUCGCCUGUCUCCG